CCCACACCUCUAUUCUUGUUAAGGGAAUUUGUCUCCUCGGGUAGGCACUUACAAAAUGAGGAGGGAUAUAAAACACCCGAGCUCUGCCUGGUUCUGCUGAUGCAGUGAUCAAAUUUGAUGGAUGCUAUCUAAGCUCUUAUCCCUGCAAUUGCUCAGAACCACAGUAACUGCCUUUAGGAAAAUGAAUGUCUGCUCACUCUUCUCUGCCACUUUCACCUGAAACUCAGUGAAGUCAGGAGGAAAGCUUGUGCUGUCUUAUGGUUCCACUCCCACUAGGCUUGCAAUCCUACUGCAAGCCAAAUGCAAAUCAGGAAAUCUCACUGUGUUUUUCGAAUAGUGGUUCAUAGAGAUGUCUCUGCUGAGCCUACUUGUGAUAAUAAGGGCUGCAACAAAGCACAGUGCUUUGUGUGCGUGCACACGAAUACUUUUUCCUAAUUCAAAAUCAUUUGGAUUAGCCAAAAAUAACUCAAGGACAAAUAAUCUUUUCUCUGAGAUGGAACGUGUAAGGACUGAGAGGUAAAUUUCUCCUAACUGAGUCUGCUGUUCUGGCCCCAUGCUGACGGCACAGACAAGAUCCAGGCUCAGCCACUGUGACUACACAGGUCCCAGAAUGCCUUCUCAACCCCAGGUGCUUUACGGAGGUUUGCUAAUGACAUUCAGAGUGAAGGUAUCUGAGAGGAGCACUGAUUAUUAUCAUGUCAGCCACAGAACUUUGAUGCUGGGUGGAUGUCUCACAAAGAUGGGCUCUGAGUGUACAAGCAAAGCGGAAGAAGAAGUGACACCCCUGGGAAGAGACCAACCGCAUCUGAGGCACCGGGGAUCUGCAGCUGCAGUGAGAAUGAGGAAGGAACUUUCCAAAAGUGUUCUGCUGAAAUGCCCUCCCCACGUGGAAGCAGCGAGCACAGUCAGAGCCCUGGCUCAGGAGUCACAUGAAAAGUAAUGCGAGCGGAUGAGGGCAGGAUCAGCACAGCCCUUCUCCUUGCCUUUCACUUCUUGAAAUGAAUCCUUUCCAACCUUUAGGUCAAAUGCUGAAACUGAACCAUGGUUUUCAUGAAUCUUGCACUAUUUUUAUAACUGCAAAAAACGAUCAGGUCACGUUUCAGGCACAGUCAGCAGCUUCCUCUGUUUGUUUGCUGCUCUGAGGGCUCUGCGGUGCUUAUUUCCAAGACUAGAAAUCAGUUUGAAAUGCAGUUCUCAAACUUAUGCGUAAUCACUUCCAGCUUCUCAUAUGUGCUACCAUGACACAAAUCUCCCCGAGCUGCAUUUCUAAGGUUUAUAAAAUACAUUCAGCCCCAUCAGGCUACUUCAGGCCUUUUAAUUUCCUAGGCACAAUAGACUGAUAAGUAUUAAUAAUAAUACCUAGCACAAAGGGAACAAGGAGAGAAUGGAUAUUACAAUUCUGUGACAAUAGUCCAUUCCCCAUCUUUACAGAUGACAAAAAUGCAGAGAGAAUUAGUAAUUUUUUUCUAACAGAAGAUUAAAAAACUUCUGAUAGAUUGGAUCAACCACCAGAGAGAGAAGAGGGCACAGUCACUGUGCAAAGAUCUCCCCAACUCCAUGAAGAUAAUGUCACAGAAACUCCUGGGAAGGAGGGAACAUUGUGGGUAUAGGGAUGGCUUCAGAGAUUCAGACCUAACUCCAGCUUGGCAAAAGCCACUCAGCCAUGUUUCAUGUACCAGAGACUGAACAGAUGCCUGGCAGCAAGGUCAGUGCCAAAGAUGCAGAGAGGAAUGACAUGACAGAUGCAGGAUGGCAGAGCGUGGGCAGAUAAUGAGCAACAAACCAAGGGAAUAACAAUCUUUCUAUGUUCUGAACUACCUGUGCCUUCCCUGGGCCUCCUGACAGUUCCACCCACUGUGGCCAAUUGAAGGACAAGUCAAAGACAGUUCCAAAAAGGUAGCUUUCCCAGUAAUGGCAUCAGACUGUCCUUGUGCCUGUCC
Long non-coding RNA from Phasianus colchicus (ring-necked pheasant), 1940 nucleotides. NCBI's taxonomy places the organism in Eukaryota, Metazoa, Chordata, Aves, Galliformes, Phasianidae. The record is from Ensembl.